GGAAAGCCUGACGGAGCAAUACCGCGUGAGGGAGGAAGGCCCUUGGGUCGUAAACCGCUUUUAACAGGGAAGAAUAACUGACGGUACCUGUUGAAUAAGCCUCGGCUAACUCCGUGCCAGCAGCCGCGGUAAGACGGAGGAUGCGAGCGUUAUCCGGAAUUAUUGGGCGUAAAGCGUCCGUAGGCGGUUAUUCAAGUCUGCUGUCAAAGACUACAGCUCAACUGUGGAAAGGCAGUGGAAACUGAGGAACUGGAGUGCGGUAGGGGUAGAGGGAAUUCCCAGUGUAGUGGUGAAAUGCGUAGAUAUUGGGAAGAACACCAGUGGCGAAGGCGCUCUGCUGGGCCAUAACUGACACUGAGGGACGAAAGCUAGGGGAGCG
RNAcentral lists this ribosomal RNA (379 nucleotides) under uncultured cyanobacterium. RNAcentral's name for it is "bacterial SSU rRNA". It matches the Rfam family "Bacterial small subunit ribosomal RNA", at positions 376 to 770 of the family's 1533-position model. Lineage: Bacteria; Bacillati; Cyanobacteriota. The record is from RNAcentral.